This 500-nucleotide ribosomal RNA is filed under the name uncultured bacterium. RNAcentral describes it as "partial 16S ribosomal RNA". It matches the Rfam family "Bacterial small subunit ribosomal RNA", at positions 30 to 523 of the family's 1533-position model. The record is from RNAcentral.
AUUGAACGCUGGCGGAAUGCUUUACACAUGCAAGUCGAACGGCAGCACGGACUUCGGUCUGGUGGCGAGUGGCGAACGGGUGAGUAAUGUAUCGGAACGUGCUCAGUCGUGGGGGAUAACGUAGUGAAAAUUACGCUAAUACCGCAUACGAUCUAUGGAUGAAAGCGGGGGAUCGCAAGACCUCGCGCGAUUGGAGCGGCCGAUAUCAGAUUAGGUAGUUGGUGGGGUAAAGGCCCACCAAGCCAACGAUCUGUAGCUGGUCUGAGAGGACGACCAGCCACACUGGAACGCGGACACGGUCCAGACUCCUACGGGAGGCAGCAGUGGGGAAUUUUGGACCAUGGGCGAAAGCCUGAUCCAGCCAUUCCGCGUGCAGGAUGAAGGCCCUCGGGUUGUAAACUGCUUUUGUACAGAACGAAAAGGUUUCUACUAAUACUAGGAGCUCAUGACGGUACUGUAAGAAUAAGCACCGGCUAACUACGUGCCAGCCGCCGCCGUAA